GAGGAAAGUCCGGACUCCAUAUAGGAAAUGAUUGUUGAAGAAAGUUCAAUGUAAGUAAUUAUGAGGAAAGUGCCACAGAAAUAGACCACUUAUUUGUUUAAUUAAGUAAGGGUGCAAAGGUGUGGUAAAAGCACACCAGAGAUAUUAUCAAGAUAUUUGCUAGGUAAACCCCAUCUUGGAGCAAAGUCAUUAGUAUAACUGAAAUUGAUCUAUUUAUGACUAAUGCAUAAAUACCGCAUAAAGUAAAAACUUUAUUAUGUUUUACUGAAGAUAAAUAACUACCCUUCUAAUAUUUAUCUGAAUAUAUAUAGAAGAACAAAAUCCGGCUUAU
RNAcentral lists this RNase P RNA (331 nucleotides) under Liagoropsis maxima. RNAcentral's name for it is "Ribonuclease P RNA". It matches the Rfam family "Bacterial RNase P class A", at positions 43 to 352 of the family's 367-position model. From Rfam's summary of the family: Ribonuclease P (RNase P) is a ubiquitous endoribonuclease, found in archaea, bacteria and eukarya as well as chloroplasts and mitochondria. Its best characterised activity is the generation of mature 5'-ends of tRNAs by cleaving the 5'-leader elements of precursor-tRNAs. Lineage: Eukaryota; Rhodophyta; Florideophyceae; Nemaliales; Liagoraceae. The record is from RNAcentral.